This 68-nucleotide transfer RNA is filed under the name Marmota monax (woodchuck). RNAcentral describes it as "tRNA.Ala". Lineage: Eukaryota; Metazoa; Chordata; Mammalia; Rodentia; Sciuridae. The record is from RNAcentral.
GGAUUGUGGCUCAGCGGUAGAGCACUUGCCUAGCACAUGCGAGGCCCUGGGUUCAAUCUUCAGCACCA